GGGCAGGGGAUGGGGCAUCAGGGUGCUGGAUGAGAAUCUGGCUCUGCUCUGGGCGGGCUGUCACCAUGGUGCUGGCAGUACCCACCACCAUUCCACAACCACCAUUGAUUGAGGAGACUUGGUGCUGGUUAUACAGACUACUGACUUCGUGAAAAUUCAGAAAUCAAAAUAAUUCCUGAAUCUGCUGGCCACUGGAGAGCUGUGAACACUUUCUCUGCCAACAAGGAUUACCCAAUUACCAAAAGCAAACAAAGACAAACUGGCUAUUCAAGUACUGCAAACCAGAUAGGAAAGAGACAGUAUCCAUGACCUUCUGUUCAUGCGGUGGAGGAAGAAAUUGCUUCCCAGAAAGGCUUAGCCCACUCCAUUCUACUAGAUAAAGGAAAAACAAAAAGCCACUCCACUCUGACAAGCCGAUUACUGUCUAUGGAGAAGCAAAAUGCCUCCCUUAGGACUAUGGGAAUAGCCAACAAGUCUCUCUAUUCUAAGGAUAAAACCAGACAUGUGGACCAUUUUUGCAUUGAGCGUUUAACCACAGUCAUCUUUAUGACCAAAAAAGAACAGGAAUUUAAACAAGAAUGGAUAAAUAUAAAUUAAGUCUAUUUUUCUUCCUGAUUCUUCAAGAGUAAGUUCCUUGAUCUUAACUUCUAUUUAUGAAAGUUCUGGCCUGAAAAGAACCUUGAGGGGUUAUCGAGUCCAUCCUUCUGCUUUCCAGGAGAAUUCAUAACUAAUGCUAUCAGAUGGAUGAGAAGGGUCACUAGCCUAGGAGUUCAGAGAUGUCAGAGGCAGAAUAUACUGCAUUUGGAUUUCAACAAGAUACCUCUUGCUAUUUCAUAGAAAAUAAAGGUUAGAUUAUAUAAAAUGGCA
This 867-nucleotide long non-coding RNA is filed under the name Homo sapiens (human). Its description in RNAcentral is "ATF7 antisense RNA 2 (ATF7-AS2)". The record is from RNAcentral. Lineage: Eukaryota; Metazoa; Chordata; Mammalia; Primates; Hominidae.